GACGAACGCUGGCGGCGUGCUUAACACAUGCAAGUCGAGCGGUAAGGCCCCUUCGGGGGUACACGAGCGGCGAACGGGUGAGUAACACGUGAGCAAUCUGCCCAUCACAUCGGGAUAACUCCGGGAAACCGAAGCUAAUACCGAAUACGACCACCUCCGGCAUCGGAUGGUGGUGGAAAGUUCCGGCGGUGAUGGAUGAGCUCGCGGCCUAUCAGCUUGUUGGUGGGGUAACGGCCCACCAAGGCUUCGACGGGUAGCCGGCCUGAGAGGGUGACCGGCCACACUGGGACUGAGACACGGCCCAGACUCCUACGGGAGGCAGCAGUCGGGAAUAUUAGACAAUGGGCGAAAGCCUGAUCCAGCAACGCCGCGUGAGGGAUGACGGCCUUCGGGUUGUAAACCUCUUUCAGCAGGGACGAAGCGCAAGUGACGGUACCUGCAGAAGAAGCACCGGCCAACUACGUG
RNAcentral lists this ribosomal RNA (465 nucleotides) under uncultured bacterium. Its description in RNAcentral is "partial 16S ribosomal RNA". It matches the Rfam family "Bacterial small subunit ribosomal RNA", at positions 28 to 507 of the family's 1533-position model. The record is from RNAcentral.